This 29-nucleotide small RNA is filed under the name Bombyx mori (domestic silkworm). Its description in RNAcentral is "ovarian small RNA-27183". Lineage: Eukaryota; Metazoa; Arthropoda; Insecta; Lepidoptera; Bombycidae. The record is from RNAcentral.
UCCCAGUGUCACCAGGAUAGGGAGGUGUU